This 468-nucleotide ribosomal RNA is filed under the name uncultured bacterium. RNAcentral describes it as "bacterial SSU rRNA". It matches the Rfam family "Bacterial small subunit ribosomal RNA", at positions 28 to 507 of the family's 1533-position model. The record is from RNAcentral.
GAUGAACGCUGGCGGCGUGCUUAACACAUGCAAGUCGAACGAAGAUGCCGGAGUGCUUGCACUUUGGCAGACUGAGUGGCGGACGGGUGAGUAACGCGUGGGUAACCUGCCUUAUACAGGGGGAUAACAGUUGGAAACGACUGCUAAUACCGCAUAAGCGCACGGUAUCGCAUGAUACAGUGUGAAAAACUCCGGUGGUACAAGAUGGACCCGCGUCUGAUUAGCUUGUUGGUGAGGUAACGGCCCACCAAGGCGACGAUCAGUAGCCGACUUGAGAGAGUGAUCGGCCACAUUGGGACUGAGACACGGCCCAAACUCCUACGGGAGGCAGCAGUAGGGAAUAUUGCACAAUGGGGGAAACCCUGAUGCAGCGACGCCGCGUGAAGGAAGAAGUAUUUCGGUAUGUAAACUUCUAUCAGCAAGGAGAAAAUGACGGUACUUGACUAAGAAGCCCCGGCUAAAUACGUG